AUGUCGAGGUCGAUCGAAGCCAAGCCAUACGAGACAAAAGACAAUGGAAUAAAACAGAGAACAGUCACUGGGCAACGCGGCUUCGACGCGCUUACAGUACGACGCGUUUGAGAGGCUCGGCGUCAAGCCCAGCACUCGGGAGUCAAGGAACGGUCCCUCCGGUCAUCCCUGCAGUAGUCGUACACCAUGUAGUUCCUCUGCGCCCAGGCCAUGGCGGCGAGCUGCUGCUUGCUGAGCCCGAAUCCGGACGGCGAGGACGGCACCGGGCGGCACCCCGACGGCGCGUACGCGGAGCAGCCUCGCACGACGAACCUGGUGAACCUGGCGACGAACGGCUGGUGGCGGUAGUCCACCCUGUGCUUGCCGUUGUCGGUGGCCCAGGACGACGCGUCCCAGAUCGUCCCGUACACCCACAUCGGCCGCAGCGGGAACGUGUCGUCGCUCCUCCUCGGGUACCGCCGUAUCGGAUAGCGUAGUGGUGGAAGUCAGCAGCAGGGUCAAACCACAGGUGGAACUUCAUCUCCCUCCCGAUGACCCGGCCGUCGCCGCUCCCCUUGACGUACACAUUCGUCUGCAACUUGUAUGGCCUCCCCGGAGUAGUCCCCAAGAACUCGAUAUCCACCUCGUCAUGGAACCCAGGAUGCACUUGGUUGUUCGACAGCUGAAGCACAAUGUCGAAUGAUGCACAAGCAAGCAAGCAAGACGGCAACGGGAGUUGGCCAAGAAAGAACUCACGUAGAAAGCUGUGAUCACUCCUGCAGUGUCGCCAGGUUGGAGCUUGAUCGAUGCCGCAAAAUAGCCGCUUCGAAAUGGGCGAUUCGACUUGAAUCCGCUGCCUGUUAUCGAUGCAGCAGAGGCAGGGUUAACAUGAGACUGAGAUGAACCGUGAGGGAGGAGGAGGAGCAGCAGACCUGAGCUCCUGUCGAGCCAGAUGGCCACCGAGGACUGGUCUGCUGAGACUGUUUGAUGCCGGGGCCCCCACAGAGUGUUGUAUCCAUGGUAGAAGCCAGGCAAAGGCUUGAACCUGCUGCUUAGGUAGUAGCCAGGGGAGGGCUGAGCACUGCUGCAUUGUAGUAUGGAGAGCAGAAUGGAGGAGAAGAGGAGGAGAGCCAUGGAGGGAGCUCAACCAGCUGUGACACUACAGGGAAGGAAGGUGAGUAUAAAUAGGAAGAUGGAAUGGUUACCAUCGCAAGAAAACUUGAGCGGUGGAUACCGAUAGGCAAAUUUAGAUGAAGAUAAGUCCCCCAAAAAAAGGAUUAGGUAGAAAUGAUACAAAAAGAGUAAUGAAAUCUAACUCUAUAGUAUAUCAAUUUAGUCAGCUAUGAAUCCACUCAAAUUUAUUUCACUUUCAAGAUGAGAACAAACUGAAACAGUGAGACUAUUCAUUAAUGUCUGACACUUAUGAUAGUUGGUAGAAUAUCUCAUUAAUGUAUCCCGUUCCUUUCUCACACUUUGUUUUUUCACCUUUUUUUUUUGCCAUCCGUUUAAUUUUUUGAUAUAUUAGUAAAAUAAUAACAAUGAUAAAACAUUCAUGUCUGGUUUGCUUGACCUAUCAGGUAGCCAUCCAACCACAUCUGUGCUUUUGCCCUCAUCCAUUGGGUGAUGAGAAGGUAGAUCCAGGCAUCCAAGUCAAUAUACAUACCUAAGCUGUAAGUGUUUUGUUAGCAUCCGAAAGUAAUCCACCGAAAGGUCCAAAAUAAUGGCAUGGGGACUCAAUUGCUGGAUUUAGGGCAGCAAUCUAACAGGCAACUCUGCAGCUGCUAGUUUCAUUAAUGUGAUAUGAAAGUGUGUGUGGAACAACAUGCAAGAACACCCAAUAUCCAUAAGAACUUUUUUGUGAAGUAUAAAAACGUGACUCCAAUUUACUUGCAAGA
Molecule: long non-coding RNA, 1874 nt
Organism: Musa acuminata AAA Group (dessert banana)
Lineage: Eukaryota; Viridiplantae; Streptophyta; Magnoliopsida; Zingiberales; Musaceae
Exons: 3
Source: RefSeq, a predicted model, not a curated record